UGGGGAAUUUUGGACAAUGGGGGAAACCCUGAUCCAGCCAUCCCGCGUGUGCGAUGAAGGCCUUCGGGUUGUAAAGCACUUUUGGCAGGAAAGAAACGUCGUGGGUUAAUACCCCGCGAAACUGACGGUACCUGCAGAAUAAGCACCGGCUAACUACGUGCCAGCAGCCGCGGUAAUACGUAGGGUGCAAGCGUUAAUCGGAAUUACUGGGCGUAAAGCGUGCGCAGGCGGUUCGGAAAGAAAGAUGUGAAAUCCCAGAGCUUAACUUUGGGAACUGCAUUUUUAACUACCGGGCUAGAGUGUGUCAGAGGGAGGUGGAAUUCCGCGUGUAGCAGUGAAAUGCGUAGAUAUGCGGAGGAACACCGAUGGCGAAGGCAGCCUCCUGGGAUAACACUGACGCUCAUGCACGAAAAGCGUGGGGAGCAAACAGGAUUAGAUACCCUGGUAGUCCACGCCCUAAAACGAUGUCAACUAGCUGUUGGGGGUCUUCGGACCUUGGUAGCGCAGCUAACGCGUGAAGUUGACCGCCUGGGGAGUACGGUCGCAAGAUUAAAACUUAAAUGAA
RNAcentral lists this ribosomal RNA (565 nucleotides) under uncultured bacterium. Its description in RNAcentral is "partial 16S ribosomal RNA". It matches the Rfam family "Bacterial small subunit ribosomal RNA", at positions 355 to 909 of the family's 1533-position model. The record is from RNAcentral.